CACGUAGUUAGCCGGGCCUGAUUCGGAGGGUACCGUCAUCAUCGUCCCCCCCAAAAGGAGUUUACAACCCAAGAGCCGUCAUCCUCCACGCGGCGUUGCUCGGUCAGGCUUGCGCCCAUUGCCGAAAAUUCCUUGCUGCUGCCCCCCGUAGGAGUUUGGGCCGUGUCUCAGUCCCAAUCUGUCUGGUCGUCCUCUCAGACCAGAGACCCAUCACAGGCUUGGUGCGCCAUUACCACACCAACUACCUAAUGGGACGCCGACCCCGCCAGUGCGCGUUACCGCUUUCCUUCACCAAGGUGAAUCGUAUGCGGGAUUAGCGAGUCUUUCGACCCGUUAUCCCCCAGACCGGGGUAGUUAGUCACGUGUUCCUCAGCCGUGCGCCACUCAUUCCGAAAGAAUGCGUUCGACUUGCAUGCAUUAGGCACGCCGCAGCGUGCUGACGCAG
Molecule: ribosomal RNA, 445 nt
Filed under: uncultured Herpetosiphon sp.
Lineage: Bacteria; Bacillati; Chloroflexota; Chloroflexia; Herpetosiphonales; Herpetosiphonaceae
Description: partial 16S ribosomal RNA
Source: RNAcentral